UACCAAGGCUGUGUAAUCGAUUACCAGAGAUGAAAAGCCUUAAAAUACCCUUUUUAAUUGCAUGUAGUGGUUAUGAGACGCAUUGUGUGCAGCGCAGUUAGAUUCUUGUGAAAGAGUCUACCCCUCUCUUUUCUUUCUUGUAGAUCGUGAUGGCGGCGCAGCUAAUCUGUGAUCGAAUAGAGAUGGAGUGCCUGGAGGGAGCUUGGGAGACCCUCGAAGGCAACACGAGGUGCCGAUUUCGGGGCACCAUUCGAUUCACGGCUACUUCUUUGGUGCAUCCAGAUGAGGGCUUUUUACUUUUUUUCCAUAAAUAAAGCAGUCGUAUUUCUAUUUUAAGGAAGAAUCGAAAUAUUGUGGAUAUUUGGAACAAGUUUCUAUUUGUAAUAAAAAAUCAAGUAAUCAUAGAAUUUCAUUAGAAUAUAGUAAAGAAAGAAAUUCAAAAAAAAAGUGUAAAAUUUUUAAAAAGGGAAAGAUUAACAAAAAGUAAGUGGACCUAACCCAUUGAAUUAUACCUAUAUUUACUAUUCUGAUAUUCAAAUUGGAUAAAGAUGAAAUUCGAACAAUGAUUUUUUCAUUUUCUUUUUAAUACUUUUUUGGUUUAGACUCCCUAAGAAUCUGUCGAUAUUUCCAAUUAAAUCUUCUUGUUCCUGUGAAGGUCCUAU
RNAcentral lists this long non-coding RNA (662 nucleotides) under Glycine max (soybean). Its description in RNAcentral is "long non-coding RNA (GMAX_LNC003499)". The record is from RNAcentral. Lineage: Eukaryota; Viridiplantae; Streptophyta; Magnoliopsida; Fabales; Fabaceae.